This 906-nucleotide ribosomal RNA is filed under the name Triticum aestivum (bread wheat). Its description in RNAcentral is "partial small subunit ribosomal RNA". Lineage: Eukaryota; Viridiplantae; Streptophyta; Magnoliopsida; Poales; Poaceae. The record is from RNAcentral.
AUGCAGAUCUUCGUGAAGACACUCACCGGCAAGAUCAUCACGCUUGAGGUCGAGUCCUCUGACACAGUCAACAAUGUGAAGGCGAUGUUCCAGGAUAAGGAGGGUAUCCCGGUGGACCAGCAGCGCCUCAUCUUUGCUCGCAAGCAGCUUGAGGAUGACCGGACACUUGAUUACAAUAUACAGAAGGAGUCCACCCUCCACCUGGUGCUCAGGCUCAGGGAUAUCCAGAUCUUUUUGAUGACAAUCACUGGCAAGAUCAUCAUGUUUGAGCUUGAGUCCUCCGACACAAUGGAUAAUAAGGCGAAGAUCCAGGAUAAGGAGGGUAUCCCGCCGGACCAGCAGGGCCUCAUCUUUGCUGGCAAGCAACUGGAAGAUGGCCGGACCCUGGGCGAAUAUAACAUCCAGAAGGAGUCGACACUCCACCUUGUGUUGAGGCUUAUGCAAAUCUUCAUUGAGUUUAAGACCCUCACUAGCAAGACAAUCACCCUUGAGGUCGAGUCUUUUGACACGAUUGACAAUGUCAAAGCAAAGAUCAGGGACAAGGAGUGCAUCCCUCCAGACCAGCAGUGGUUGAUAUUUGCCUGCAAGCAACUCGACGACGGAUGCACCCUUGCCGAUUACAACAUUCAGAAGGAGUCUAUACUCUACUUGGUGCUCUGUCUUCGUGGUGGCCAGCAGAUCUUUGUGAAGACACUCACUGGCAAGACCAUCACUAUCGAGGUUGAGUCUUCCAACACAAUCGACAAUGUCAAAGCGAGGAUCCAGGAUAAGGGGGGCAUACCACCGGACCAUCAGCGCCUAAUCUUUGCAGGCAAGCAGUUUGAGGAUGGACGCACCCUUGAUGAUUACAACAUUCAGAAGGAGUCUACUCUCCACCUGGUGCUCCGCCUUCGUGGUGGCCAGUGA